UACGAAGGGGGCUAGCGUUGCUCGGAAUCACUGGGCGUAAAGGGUGCGUAGGCGGGUUUUUAAGUCAGAGGUGAAAUCCUGGAGCUCAACUCCAGAACUGCCUUUGAUACUGCGAAUCUUGAGUUCGGGAGAGGUGAGUGGAACUGCGAGUGUAGAGGUGAAAUUCGUAGAUAUUCGCAAGAACACCAGUGGCGAAGGCGGCUCACUGGCCCGAUACUGACGCUGAGGCACGAAAGCGUGGGGAGCAAACAGG
RNAcentral lists this ribosomal RNA (253 nucleotides) under uncultured bacterium. Its description in RNAcentral is "partial 16S ribosomal RNA". It matches the Rfam family "Bacterial small subunit ribosomal RNA", at positions 524 to 776 of the family's 1533-position model. The record is from RNAcentral.